CACUUUUAGUAAUGGAUCUCUUGGCGCUCGCAUCGAUGAAGAACGCAGCGAAAUGCGAUAAGUAAUGUGAAUUGCAGAAUUCAGUGAAUCAUCGAAUCUUUGAACGCACCUUGCACCCUUUGGUAUCCCCACAGGGUAUGCUCGUUUGAGUGUCAUUGUACUCUCACACUUCCAGUCUUUGGAUUGGGAGCGGUGGACUUGGGUGUUGCUGCUUUACCGCGGCUCACCUCAAAUGCAUUAGUGCAUCUCCGGAUUGGACAUAGUACAGCGUGAUAAGUAUCUUCGCUGGCACCUUACUUCAGAGGGUGGCUGAUCCAGAGCUCUGUGCUUUCAAACCGUCUUCAGACAAUGACUGACAGCUUGGCCUCAAAUCGAGUAGGACUACCCGCUGAACUUAAGCAUAUCAAUAAGCGGAGGCU
Molecule: unclassified non-coding RNA, 419 nt
Filed under: uncultured Sebacinaceae
Lineage: Eukaryota; Fungi; Basidiomycota; Agaricomycetes; Sebacinales; Sebacinaceae
Description: sequence contains ITS2
Rfam family: 5.8S ribosomal RNA (bases 1-155)
Source: RNAcentral